RNAcentral lists this ribosomal RNA (207 nucleotides) under uncultured bacterium. RNAcentral's name for it is "partial 16S ribosomal RNA". It matches the Rfam family "Bacterial small subunit ribosomal RNA", at positions 568 to 774 of the family's 1533-position model. The record is from RNAcentral.
CGUGUAGGCGGCUCAUUAAGUCAGAUGUGAAAGCCCACGGCUUAACCGUGGAACUGCAUUUGAAACUGAUAGGCUUGAGUAUGAGAAGGGGUAGUGGAAUUCCCAGUGUAGCGGUGAAAUGCGUAGAUAUUGGGAAGAACACCAGUAGCGAAGGCGACUACCUGGCUCAUUACUGACGCUAAUGCGCGAAAGCGCGGGGAGCAAACA